This 239-nucleotide ribosomal RNA is filed under the name uncultured Lactobacillus sp. RNAcentral describes it as "partial 16S ribosomal RNA". It matches the Rfam family "Bacterial small subunit ribosomal RNA", at positions 125 to 354 of the family's 1533-position model. Lineage: Bacteria; Bacillati; Bacillota; Bacilli; Lactobacillales; Lactobacillaceae. The record is from RNAcentral.
CCGUAGCCCAAGAGAUCGGGAUAACACCUGGAAACAGAUGCUAAUACCGGAUAACAACAGAUGAUGCCUAUCAACUGUUUAAAAGAUGGUUCUGCUAUCACUCUUGGAUGGACCUGCGGUGCAUUAGCUAGUUGGUAGGGUAACGGUCUACCAAGGCGAUGAUGCAUAGCCGAGUUGAGAGACUGAUCGGCCACAUUGGGACUGAGACACGGCCCAAACUCCUACGGGAGGCAGCAGGA